Molecule: unclassified non-coding RNA, 138 nt
Filed under: uncultured Mycosphaerellaceae
Lineage: Eukaryota; Fungi; Ascomycota; Dothideomycetes; Mycosphaerellales; Mycosphaerellaceae
Description: sequence contains ITS2
Source: RNAcentral
CACCAAUCAAGCCUGGCUUGGUGUUGGGCCCCGGGGGCGACCCGGGCCUCAAAGUGGUCGGCUGGAAAGCUCUGAUCUCAGCGUCGUGGUUAAACAUUCGCGAAGAGAGGGGCGGUCUGCGCCGUUAAAAUCACACAA